Molecule: small RNA, 28 nt
Filed under: Bombyx mori (domestic silkworm)
Lineage: Eukaryota; Metazoa; Arthropoda; Insecta; Lepidoptera; Bombycidae
Description: ovarian small RNA-21501
Source: RNAcentral
UACUGCGUGAAUGUAGCACUACUACUAA